ACUGGACGAAAUGGUUGUGGAACUGUGAACUGUGCUGUUCAGUUUUUUUGUUGAGAUGGAGAAGGUGAAUCAUUGUCAGUCUGCUUGCAGAAGGAGAAUAUUCUUUUGGCAACUUUGCCUGCAACGUGCGAUGGCUGGAAGCAACACCAUCAUCGGCAGCUGAGUCUGAUCGCCCUUCAUGUUGAAUAUACUUGUGUACAGUAUAGUAAUGUUUGAAUAAAUGUUAUAAUGAAGAU
This is a long non-coding RNA of Etheostoma spectabile (orangethroat darter), 236 nucleotides long. RefSeq lists it as uncharacterized. The record is from RefSeq and is a predicted model, not a curated record. The transcript has 2 exons. NCBI's taxonomy places the organism in Eukaryota, Metazoa, Chordata, Actinopteri, Perciformes, Percidae.